RNAcentral lists this ribosomal RNA (501 nucleotides) under uncultured bacterium. Its description in RNAcentral is "partial 16S ribosomal RNA". It matches the Rfam family "Bacterial small subunit ribosomal RNA", at positions 29 to 523 of the family's 1533-position model. The record is from RNAcentral.
AUUGAACGCUGGCGGCAUGCCUUACACAUGCAAGUCGAACGGCAGCACGGGUGCUUGCACCUGGUGGCGAGUGGCGAACGGGUGAGUAAUACAUCGGAACGUACCUUAUCGUGGGGGAUAACGCAGCGAAAGCUGUGCUAAUACCGCAUACGCCCUGAGGGGGAAAGCGGGGGAUCGCAAGACCUCGCGCGAUUAGAGCGGCCGAUGCCUGAUUAGGUUGUUGGUGGGGUAAAAGCCCACCAAGGCGACGAUCAGUAGCUGGUCUGAGAGGACGAUCAGCCACACUGGGACGAAGACACGGACCAGACUCCUACGGGAGGCAGCAGUGGGGAAUUUUGGACAAUGGGGGCAACCCUGAUCCAGCAAUGCCGCGUGAGUGAAGAAGGCCUUCGGGUUGUAAAGCUCUUUUGUCAGGGAAGAAACACCGGCUCUAACACAGUCUGGGAAUGACGGUACCUGAAGAAUAAGCACCGGCUAACUACGUGCCAGCAGCCGCCGUAA